AGCCAUAUAGUCUAUUUAGGAUAGCAAAUUGCAAAUUUGAAGGAGGGGGAGCGCCCUAAGGCUU
This 64-nucleotide transfer RNA is filed under the name Miridiba trichophora. RNAcentral's name for it is "tRNA-Cys". Lineage: Eukaryota; Metazoa; Arthropoda; Insecta; Coleoptera; Scarabaeidae. The record is from RNAcentral.